UUUUUUUUUUUUUUUUUUCACUUUUGGAAGUCGCUUUCCAAUUCGUAUAAUUCGUAUAA
This 59-nucleotide non-coding RNA is filed under the name Corethron hystrix. Lineage: Eukaryota; Bacillariophyta; Corethrophyceae; Corethrales; Corethraceae. The record is from RNAcentral.